CCUACGGGAGGCAGCAGUGAGGAAUAUUGGUCAAUGGACGAGAGUCUGAACCAGCCAAGUAGCGUGAAGGAUGACGGCCCUAUGGGUUGUAAACUUCUUUUAUAUGGGAAUAAAAUGUUCCACGUGUGGGAUUUUGUAUGUACCAUAUGAAUAAGGAUCGGCUAACUCCGUGCCAGCAGCCGCGGUAAUACGGAGGAUCCGAGCGUUAUCCGGAUUUAUUGGGUUUAAAGGGAGCGUAGGUGGCUUGUUAAGUCAGAUGUGAAAGUUUGUGGCUCAACCGUAAAAUUGCAGUGGAAACUGGCAGGCUGGAGUACGGUAGAGGUGGGCGGAAUUCGUGGUGUAGCGGUGAAAUGCUUAGAUAUCACGAAGAACUCCGAUUGCGAAGGCAGUUCACUGGACUGCAACUGACACUGAGGCUCGAAAGUGUGGGUAUCAAACAGGAUUAGAUACCCUUGUAGUC
Molecule: ribosomal RNA, 460 nt
Filed under: uncultured bacterium
Lineage: Bacteria
Description: partial 16S ribosomal RNA
Rfam family: Bacterial small subunit ribosomal RNA
Source: RNAcentral